This is a long non-coding RNA of Fundulus heteroclitus (mummichog), 369 nucleotides long. RefSeq lists it as uncharacterized. The transcript is spliced from 3 exons. Lineage: Eukaryota; Metazoa; Chordata; Actinopteri; Cyprinodontiformes; Fundulidae. The record is from RefSeq and is a predicted model, not a curated record.
CAUUCUGCAGUCGUGACCCUUUCUUCUGCUUUAACUGCUGCAGUUCUCCUCAUCAUCAUAGUUUCAAUUAUUGGAGGAUUUAUCUGCAAAAAACAUCCAGAGAGCUCCUGUUUAAGAUCUGAAACAUCUGGAUCAGCUGUACAUGGAUCUGCUGCCACUUCAGAUGAAGAUAACGCAGAUGAAUUGUACAAAAGCCUUCAGCAGCCGACAAGUGAUCUCUACCAAACUAUCUCCUCAGGUCACCAUAAGCAUGAAACUGAAACAAACUCAGCCAGCAACAAAGGAAAUGUUAACCUGGAAAAUAUGGAAGUUAACAGCAAUCAUGAAAUGUAUGAAAACCUUUGAAUCAAAACUCUUUCAAGCUGAAUG